RNAcentral lists this ribosomal RNA (1921 nucleotides) under activated sludge metagenome. RNAcentral describes it as "bacterial LSU rRNA". It matches the Rfam family "Bacterial large subunit ribosomal RNA", at positions 344 to 2305 of the family's 2925-position model. The record is from RNAcentral.
GGAAAGAGCCGCCAUAGCGGGUGACAGCCCCGUAAGCGAAAGGAAUCGGGUACCUAUCAGUAUCCUGAGUAGGGCGGGGCCGGAGAAACCUUGUCUGAAUCCACCAGCACCAUCUGGUAAGCCUAAAUACUACCGGGAGACCGAUAGCGAACCAGUACCGUAAGGGAAAGGUGAAAAGAACCCUAAGAAAGGGAGUGAAAAGACUCUGAAACCAUACGCUUACAAGCGGUCGGAGUCCCGACUUGUCGGGAUGACGGCGUGCCUUUUGCAUAAUGAGCCUACGAGUUAUACCUCACUGGCAGCCUAAGCACUUCAGGUGCGCAAGCAAAGCGAAAGCGAGUCUUAACAGGGCGACCAAAAAGUCAGUGGGGAUAGACGCGAAACCGUGUGAUCUAUCCAUGGGCAGGCUGAAGGUCCGAUAAUCUCGGAGUGGAGGGCCGAACCGGUGAAUGUUGAAAAAUUCUCGGAUGACCUGUGGAUAGGGGUGAAAGGCCAAUCAAACUCGGAGAUAGCUCGUACUCCCCGAAAUGCAUUUAGGUGCAGCGUCGUGAAGUGAUUGUUGGAGGUAAAGCUACUGAAAAGGCUAGGGGGCUUCACCGCCUACCAACCCUUAACAAACUCUGAAUGCCAACAAUCAGCAGCGGCAGUGAGCCCCAGGGUGCGAAGGUCAUGGGGCGAGAGGGGAACAACCCAGACCAACAGCUAAGGUCCCUAAAUGUGGUUAAGUUGCAUUAAACGAGGUGGGAAUGCACUGACAGCUAGGAUGUUUGCUUGGAAGCAGCAAUUCAUUUAAAGAGUGCGUAACAGCUCACUAGUCGAGCGUUCCUGCGCGGAAAAUAAGCGGGCAUCAAACCACAUACCGAAGCUUUGGACUCGCAAGAGUGGUAGGGGAGCAUUCUGUGGCGUCGAAGCCGUGUCGUGAGACAUGGUGCAGCCAACAGAAAAGCAAAUGUAGGCAUAAGUAACGAUAAAUGGCGUGGAAAACGUCAUCGCCGUAAGACUAAGGGUUCCUUGAUCUACGUUCAUCGGAUCAGGGUUAGCCGGGACCUAAGGAUAAGCCGAAAGGCGAUGCCGAUGGAAAGUGGGUUAAUAUUCCUACGCCUGUGCAUACUGCUACAUGGGGACGGAGGGGUGGAGGCAUCGCGCACUGACGGAAUAGUGCGUUAAAUCCUUCCGAAAGGGGGAGAUAGUACCGCAAAGGCUUCGGCCUGCGCGGAUAGUGUGCCAAUACCACUUCCAGGAAAAGCCGUUGUAGCUUCAGGUAUGCAGAGCCCGUACCGUAAACCGACACAGGUAGUCGAGGAGAGCAUCCUCAGGCGCUCGAGUGAUUCGUGGCUAAGGAACUAGGCAAAAUGGUCUCGUAACUUCGGGAGAAGAGACGCCCCCCCAGUGAUGAGGGGGCCGCAGUGAAGAGGCCCAGGCGACUGUUUAGCAAAAACACAUGGCUCUGCAAAAUCGCAAGAUGAAGUAUAGGGCCUGACACCUGCCCGGUGCCGGAAGGUUAAGGAAGGGGCUUAGGAGCAAUCCGAAGGUCUUGACUGAAGCCCCGGUAAACGGCGGCCGUAACUAUAACGGUCCUAAGGUAGCGAAAUUCCUUGUCGGGUAAGUUCCGACCUGCACGAAUGGUGUAACGAUCUGGGCACUGUCUCAGCCACGAGCUCGGUGAAAUUGAAGUAUCGGUGAAGAUGCCGAUUACCCGCAACGGGACGGAAAGACCCCGUGAACCUUUACUACAGCUUUGCAUUGGGCUUGAGUUGUUGAUGCGUAGGAUAGGUGGGAGGCUUUGAUCCGGUGGUUCUGGCCAUCGGGGAGUCGACGUUGAAAUACCACCCUUUGGCUAUUUGAGUCCUAACACAGAAAAUGUAGACAGUGCAUGGUGGGUAGUUUGACUGGGGUGGUCGCCUCCUAAAGAGUAACGGAG